AGAGUUUGAUCCUGGCUCAGGAUAAACGCUGGCGGCGUGCCUAAUGCAUGCAAGCCGUACGGCCGGUUUACCGGCAGUGGCGGACGGGUGAGUAACACGUAAGAACCUACCCUCUAGUGGGGGACAACCCCGAGAAAUCGGGGCUAAUACCGCAUAAGCUCCUUGGUUUUUCUGAGGAGGAAAGCUCCGGCGCUAGAGGACGGGCUUGCGCCCGAUUAGCUUGUUGGUGAGGUAAUGGCUCACCAAGGCUGAGAUCGGUAGCUGGUCUGAGAGGACGAUCAGCCACACUGGGACUGAGAUACGGCCCAGACUCCUACGGGAGGCAGCAGCAGGGGAUAUUGCGCAAUGGGUGAAAGCCUGACGCAGCAACGCCGCGUGGGGGAUGACGGCCUUCGGGUUGUAAACCCCUUUUAUCAGGGAAGAUAAUGACGGUACCUGAUGAAUAAGUCUCGGCUAACUACGUGCCAGCAGCCGCGGUAAGACGUAGGAGGCAAGCGUUAUCCGGAUUUACUGGGCGUAAAGGGCGUGUAGGCGGCUCGUUAAGUCUCCGGUGAAAUCUCCCGGCUCAACUGGGAGGGUGCUUGAGAAACUGGCGGGCUUGAGGGCAGCAGAGGGGAGUGGAAUUCCCGGUGUAGUGGUGAUAUGCGUAGAUAUCGGGAGGAACACCAGUGGCGAAGGCGGCUCCCUGGGCUGUUCCUGACGCUGAGGCGCGAAAGCGUGGGGAGCAAACAGGAUUAGAUACCCUGGUAGUCCACGCCGCAAAUGAUGGACACUAGGUAUGGGGGGUAUCGACCCCCUCCGUGCCGUAGUUAACGCUUUAAGUGUCCCGCCUGGGGAUUACGGCCGCAAGGCUAAAACUCAAAGGAAUUGACGGGGGCCCGCACAAGCAGCGGAGCGUGUGGUUUAAUUCGAUUCAAAGCGAAGAACCUUACCAAGGCUUGACAUGCAUGGGAAAGGCAGGGAAACCUGUCCCUCCUUCGGGACCGAUGCACAGAUGCUGCAUGGCUGUCGUCAGCUCGUGCCGUGAGGUGUUGGGUUAAGUCCCGCAACGAGCGCAACCCUCGUCGCCAGUUGGAUUUUCUGGCGAGACUGCCCUGCAAAACGGGGAGGAAGGUGGGGAUGACGUCAAGUCAGCACGGCUCUUACGCCUUGGGCUACACACACGCUACAAUGGGUGGUACAGAGGGAUGCCAAGGGGCGACCCGGAGCUAAUCCCAGAAAACCAUCCUAAGUUCGGAUUGCAGGCUGAAACCCGCCUGCAUGAAGCUGGAGCUGCUAGUAAACGCAGAUCAGCAUGCUGCGUUGAAUACGUUCUCGGGCCUUGUACACACCGCCCGUCACGUCAUGGAAGCUGGCAACACCUGAAGUCGAUGGGCUAACCCUCACGGGAGGCAGUCGCCUAGGGUGGGGCUAGUGACUGGGACGAAGUCGUAACAAGGUA
Molecule: ribosomal RNA, 1441 nt
Filed under: metagenome
Description: bacterial SSU rRNA
Rfam family: Bacterial small subunit ribosomal RNA
Source: RNAcentral